CAGCAGCCGCGGGAAUACGAAGGGUGCAAGCGUUAAUCGGAAUUACUGGGCGUAAAGCGUGCGUAGGCGGUUUGUUAAGUCUGUUGUGAAAUCCCCGGGCUCAACCUGGGAAUGGCAAUGGAUACUGGCAAGCUAGAGUGUGUCAGAGGAUGGUGGAAUUCCCGGUGUAGCGGUGAAAUGCGUAGAGAUCGGGAGGAACAUCAGUGGCGAAGGCGGCCAUCUGGGACAACACUGACGCUGAAGCACGAAAGCGUGGGGAGCAAACAGGAUUAGAUACCCGCGUAGUCCCUGUCUCUUAUAC
RNAcentral lists this ribosomal RNA (301 nucleotides) under uncultured bacterium. Its description in RNAcentral is "partial 16S ribosomal RNA". It matches the Rfam family "Bacterial small subunit ribosomal RNA", at positions 509 to 807 of the family's 1533-position model. The record is from RNAcentral.